Molecule: ribosomal RNA, 462 nt
Filed under: Triticum aestivum (bread wheat)
Lineage: Eukaryota; Viridiplantae; Streptophyta; Magnoliopsida; Poales; Poaceae
Description: partial small subunit ribosomal RNA
Source: RNAcentral
AUGGGCUUUAGCCCAGCUGGAGAGGGGGGAGGCCAUGCAGGCCGAAUCUGGCGCGACUGGGCCUUGCACGGCACUGGCCCACGUGCGUGCGAGCAGAGGAGGUCUGCGAGUGACACGCUCGUCCUCCUCUCGCGCAGAAAGAAGUGGCGGCGGUCUCAGGGAGCAGAAGCAGGGAGGCCAGUGGGUGCAAGGACGGCGCCGCAGGAACUUGGCAUGGCUGGCCGCGGGAUGCAGGGCAUGACGACGCGGGGACGGAGGUUCUCGCGGGAUCUGGCGAAUGCGGUCAACGGGCACGGCUCGAUGCGGCAGGAUGAUGCAGGGGAGCGGCUUCGUGGAAGACUAGUGGUGGCGCCGUUGGUCCUUCCGGCGACGGCAGACGGCAGGACGACCACCGGAGGCGGCGCGAGGGCGAGGGGAACGGAUUCCCGGCGGUGGGAGGUAGCGGCGCUGUUCGGUUCCUAG